UAGUCAAGUUGAUGUGUGUAAAAGGUUUAGUUUAAUAUUUGACAAAAAGUAACUGUUCAAUACAGGUUUUUCAAUAAUAAAAUCUCACCAAAUCUAAUUUCUGGAUUUGCAUAGAGUCAGGAAAGAUCUCUUCCUGAAAAGAGUGAAAUCCAUAGCAGCUCUGCCUUUAACAAUCAGGUUUUAAAAGAUGAUCUGUACCUCUGGCAGAGUGAAUACAGUGACAAUGACAAGUAAAGGCAACAAUUUGGGGAUGAACUUUGGCUCCGCUACUCAGGUAGACAGGACUUUGACUUCUUGGUGCCUCAGUUUCUUCUUGUGUCAAACUCGAAAGGAUACCUAUUAAACAGGAUUGUAGUAAGGAUUCAGUAUGACAAGCCACAUAAAAUUCUUGGCAUGGUGCCUGACACACAGAA
This is a non-coding RNA of Macaca mulatta (Rhesus monkey), 413 nucleotides long. The record is from RefSeq and is a predicted model, not a curated record. Lineage: Eukaryota; Metazoa; Chordata; Mammalia; Primates; Cercopithecidae.